UUGCUCCUGAUUGAUAAACAUUUGAGUGAGUGGCGGACGGGUGAGUAACACGUGGGUAACCUGCCCUAAAGUGGGGGAUAACAUUUGGAAACAGAUGCUAAUACCGCAUAAAACCUAACACCGCAUGGUGUAGGGUUGAAAGAUGGUUUCGGCUAUCACUUUAGGAUGGACCCGCGGUGCAUUAGUUAGUUGGUGAGGUAAAGGCUCACCAAGACCGUGAUGCAUAGCCGACCUGAGAGGGUAAUCGGCCACACUGGGACUGAGACACGGCCCAGACUCCUACGGGAGGCAGCAGUAGGGAAUCUUCCACAAUGGACGAAAGUCUGAUGGAGCAACGCCGCGUGAGUGAAGAAGGUUUUCGGAUCGUAAAACUCUGUUGUUGGAGAAGAAUGUAUCUGAUAGUAACUGAUCAGGUAGUGACGGUAUCCAACCAGAAAGCCACGGCUAACUACGUGCCAGCAGCCGCGGUAAUACGUAGGUGGCAAGCGUUGUCCG
Molecule: ribosomal RNA, 495 nt
Filed under: Latilactobacillus sakei
Lineage: Bacteria; Bacillati; Bacillota; Bacilli; Lactobacillales; Lactobacillaceae
Description: bacterial SSU rRNA
Rfam family: Bacterial small subunit ribosomal RNA
Source: RNAcentral